RNAcentral lists this ribosomal RNA (207 nucleotides) under uncultured bacterium. RNAcentral describes it as "partial 16S ribosomal RNA". It matches the Rfam family "Bacterial small subunit ribosomal RNA", at positions 524 to 728 of the family's 1533-position model. The record is from RNAcentral.
UACGUAGGGUGCAAGCGUUGUCCGGAAUUAUUGGGCGUAAAGAGCUCGUAGGCGGUCUGUCGCGUCUGCUGUGAAAACUCAGGGCUUAACCCUGAGCUUGCAGUGGGUACGGGCAGACUAGAGUGCGGUAGGGGAGACUGGAAUUCCUGGUGUAGCGGUGAAAUGCGCAGAUAUCAGGAGGGAACACCGGUGGGCGAAGGCGGGUCU